This 222-nucleotide ribosomal RNA is filed under the name uncultured bacterium. Its description in RNAcentral is "partial 16S ribosomal RNA". It matches the Rfam family "Bacterial small subunit ribosomal RNA", at positions 109 to 334 of the family's 1533-position model. The record is from RNAcentral.
AGUAAUACAUCGGAACGUGUCUUCUAGCGGGGGAUAACUGCCCGAAAGGGCAGCUAAUACCGCAUGAGACCUGAGGGUGAAAGCGGGGGAUCGCAAGACCUCGCGCUGGAAGAGCGGCCGAUGUCCGAUUAGCUAGUUGGUGAGGUAAAGGCUCACCAAGGCGACGAUCGGUAGCUGGUCUGAGAGGACGACCAGCCACACUGGGACUGAGACACGGCCCAG